CCAGCCUCCAUUUCCUUCACUCAUUUAACAUUCGGGUGGCAUGUGAUGUGCCGUGCCUUGGAGAGCAUGGUGAGAAGGGCCACUGCAAACCUGCUCACAAAAAUCAUACAGCACGGGGGUAGGGUGACGAUGCAAGCCGGAAAGGAACAGUAGUUUUAACUGCAUUAGGGGGCAGAGUCUUGUCCGGGACAUUCCCCGAGGGAGUGAGACAGAGCUGCCAGAGGAAGAAGGGCUAUCCAAGAAAAGUCCUUCCUGGGAACCACUAUGACAACCCAGUGGAACUCGGCUUUCCUGGGCCUGGGGUAGGGAGUCACCCAGUUGAGGGUAUCCAUCAGCACCAGCCAGAAGCACAUAGGAGCAGCUGACAACACAGUGAAUCAGAGUCAGGGGUACAGGGGUUUCCCUGGCUGUCCUGGAACUUGCUCUGUAGACCAGGCUGG
This is a long non-coding RNA of Peromyscus maniculatus bairdii (prairie deer mouse), 440 nucleotides long. RefSeq lists it as uncharacterized. The record is from RefSeq and is a predicted model, not a curated record. NCBI's taxonomy places the organism in Eukaryota, Metazoa, Chordata, Mammalia, Rodentia, Cricetidae.